Molecule: non-coding RNA, 70 nt
Organism: Dipodomys ordii (Ord's kangaroo rat)
Lineage: Eukaryota; Metazoa; Chordata; Mammalia; Rodentia; Heteromyidae
Source: Rfam
GGGAAUGUGGCUUAGUGGUAGAGUGCUUGCCUAGUAUACAUGAAGCCCUGGGUUCGAUUCCUCAGUACCA